RNAcentral lists this long non-coding RNA (359 nucleotides) under Homo sapiens (human). RNAcentral's name for it is "non-protein coding lnc-ATP8A2-2:1". Lineage: Eukaryota; Metazoa; Chordata; Mammalia; Primates; Hominidae. The record is from RNAcentral.
UAAAAAGGGAGGGAGGAGGAACCACGGACUACACAGUCAAUUCAGAAAUUUGAAUUUUCAUCCAUACCUCCGUUAUUCUUACUCUACUCGCUCAACAACAGGUUCUGAUAAUGUUACUUCUGCCAUUUCUGUUUGUCUUUAUUUCCAGUUCCACAACCCUGCUUAGGCUAUUGUCAUUCGUGGAACAAAUAUUUAUUGGACAGAUUCCCAUGUGCAAGGCUCUGUUUUAGGUAUUAAGAGUCUUGCUCUCUUGAUCCUUACAUUCUUAUGAAAAUAAUUUUGAUUCUUGUCAGAUUUUUAACCAGCUGUCUUUCUUGUUUUAGAUGAAAACUACUCCAAUCAACUUCUUCAAUCUGUUC